Molecule: non-coding RNA, 735 nt
Organism: Oncorhynchus masou masou (cherry salmon)
Lineage: Eukaryota; Metazoa; Chordata; Actinopteri; Salmoniformes; Salmonidae
Source: the annotation of a RefSeq genome assembly
GACCCAGUGAACCAGGCCAGCAGCACAACUCAGAGCAUCAGCAGUAACCUGACUCUUCCCUCAAGCCAAUGGAAAACCCUGAACACAAUAACAUGCAGAGCUGAACAUCGCUGCUUCAACUCCACAGAGAAGACGAGUAAUGUUAAAGGACCUGCAGUGAGCAGCACUGCCACAGUGCUGAUCAGGAGGUCUCUCCCAGAGUUACUGAAGGGAAACAGUGCUGUGCUGGAGUGUGCCAUCACACAACUCUCCUCCAGUGACCUAUACGUCACCUUUCAGGCAAAUGGGGUUGAUUUCCCUGAGAAACACUUGGUGUCUAGCUCCAACGUCAAGAUUUUUGGUGAACUGUCCAUGGAACUCCUUCUAGUCCCCAGUGAGGAGCUGUCUGGCUCAGGGACCCAGAAACUCAUGUGUUCUGGGUGGGGCUUCAACCCUAAGAUCAAGUGGCUCUCUGGGUCUGAACAGAGGUCUGCAACGGACAAUGAGAUAAGGAUGGGGGAAGACGGACAUGUGGCACUAACCAGUCAUAUCACAGUAACACAGCAGGAGUGGAAUGAGGGAAAGGACUUCAUCUGUGAGGUAGAUGACAAAGAUCUUCAGAAAACUGUCAGGAAGAGCACCAGUUUAUGCACAGGUAGUUUGUAAACUUACAGAAGCGCCUUACCUGUUUAAAGUUUUGCUUCAAAAGUCAUAAAUCAAAACCUAAUUACCUUGGAGUAUAAAACACUAUUUUAC